CCCCUCUCAGGAUCGCACCUGGAGAGUCUCCAGUAGUCUACUAGUCUUGGCUACGGGAGAAAGAGUCAGGCAGAGGCAUACCCAUUCCAUUCCUAGCUUUGUCAGUGGCUAGCGAGUGGAAAGCAAUCUGCUACAAGU
RNAcentral lists this small nucleolar RNA (138 nucleotides) under Ornithorhynchus anatinus (platypus). Lineage: Eukaryota; Metazoa; Chordata; Mammalia; Monotremata; Ornithorhynchidae. The record is from RNAcentral.